CCAAUCAAACAAACAAUAAGAUCCACCUUUAAUCUGGACCGCACCAUUUGGCAGCAGCUGACAUAUAUAAAGGAUAUUGAAAGAAGGAAGCCUUCUUUGCCUGCUUGGCCUAGCUCUGGCUACCAAGUUCACUCCUUUACUAGCAUUAGAACUUACUUUUUGGUAAUUUUGUUGUAUACUGAAGACCAGCUAAGACAUCCAGUCAAAGGGACUGAACAACUUCAAAUUUCCAUUGGUAGACAGCCACUGUUGGAGUAGCUGGGCCACAGCUUGUGAGACAGUCCAAUAAUUUGACUUUAUACAUACAUGUAGAGAUUCAUUCUAACUGGUCAUGUUCAUGUAGAGAACCUUGAAUAAUGUAGCUGUUUUUUUUCUUUUUAACCUGCCCACUGAGGAAGAUGUGCUGGCUAACAAUAGUGCUCAUAAAGACAUUCUUCCUGGCUCCAUUAUUCUCUAAGUAUUCAACUUUCCAUGAAGACUACUCUUUUUAUUACUCAUUUGCCAACAGUUUGCUCUGAAUUUCAGGAAUAAAACACCUAAAUUAAUGGAGCCAUCAUCCAGCCUUCUGAUGGGAGAAAGAUCUAUUAUCUUGUUUGUGAUCUAGUUCCUGCUUUUCUUUCCUGGUUGUCUGAAGUCCCUGUGUCAACCAGGUAAAAAAUACCUUCAGUUCACCUGACCCCAGUGUGAAACCACAGAACAAACAUCUCCUUUUGUGUCCUUAAAUCCCUCUUUAUUUGUUAAUAUUUCAGGCACCCUUCUAACUGAGUGAUAGGGAAUCACUCCACCCACAUAGUAUGGAGGGCUGUACAAUCUAGGUAGCCACAUUGUGUCCAGGAGGAAGAAGGGGAAGUGCCUGUGCAGAGCAGGAAGAUAGCAGGGUCUGCUAUUAGAGCCAGAGGCAAGUGCUAUUGAAAUGCAUAUGUCUGCUGUUGUAGAAAAGGUAUUUGUCUGAGGCGGAAGGCAAGGCCAGGAACCAUUGUGCUGUGUCUUUCAGCACAUAGUAACCCUAUGGGAGGUGCUCUUGUCACUCAGAACUCACUAGCCAAUCAGGCCCUCCAGGCGACCUGCCAGUCAUAAGUUGUGUAGGGCACUUCCGGGCUACAGGCUUCCGGAAAUGCUUUGAAGAGGAGCUGGCGGGAGAGGUCUUGUGUGCUGUGCUGUGAGUGCUGCUGCAGGGAGCUGAGCAGAGAGCAUGGGAAACCAGGACCAGGACACAGAUGGAGCCAGUCUCUGCAGUGGGUGCCCUCUGUGCAGAGCCUUGGUGAGCCAGGCACUGAGAUGGCCCUGAAGACUUUCUACUUUGCCGGAAUAGUCACCAUGAACAUCACUGUGGAUGUGCCUCUGAUCAAAGACAUCAUCCACACUUCCAAGGCCAUCAGGACCAGCACAUGAUAAGUGAUUCUGCAAAAUUUGACUUCUUUAUUGGGAUGGACACUAACACACUUGGACCACAGGUGCAGCAGGUUUUGUAUGAAGUUGCUUCCUGGGACUAGAAUUCACUUUGCUUACUCCUUCCAUAAUUAAAGGUUUAGCUGGAUAUGGUCUUACCCUUAGGGUACCUUACUAGGAUUCCAUUCCAGAGCAAGGGCCUUUUUUUUUUUUUAAAGAUUUGUUUAUUUAUUAUGUAUACAGUGUUCUGUCUGCAUGUAUCCCUGCAGGCCAGAAGAGGGCACCCGAUCGCAUGACACAUGGUUGUGAGCCACCAUGUGGUUCCUGGGAAUUCAACUCAGAACCUCUGGGAGAGCAGUCAGUGCUCUUAACUGCUGAGCCAUCUCUCCAGCUCCUAAAGACAUUUUUGUUUGUUUUGUUUUGUUUUUUGUUUUUCAAGACAGGGUUUCUCUGUAUAGCUUUGCACGUUUCCUGGAACUCGCUUUGGAGACCAGGCUGGCCUUGAGCUCACAGAGAUCCGCCUGCCUCUGCCUUCCGAGUGCUGGGAUUAAAGGUGUGGGCCACCACCGCCCGGCAAGGGCCUUCUUUAUAAUGGUGAUAAACUCCUUGAAAAUUCCUGCCUGUUUCAACACUUGACUGCUAUCUGAAACUACCUUUUCAUUUUCAUUUAUUUCUGCCCAACUUGUUGACUUAUUUUUUUUAUUUUUUUAACUGUAGGCCUCAGUGAGUCACCAAUAAUAACCAAGCAACCAAGAUUCAAUGUUCCAUUUAAGAAAUUAUCAUGGGCUGGAGAGAUAGCUCAGAGGUUAAGAGUACUGGCUGCUCUUCCACAGAUCCUGAGUUCAACUCCCCGCAACCACAUGGUAGCUCAUACCCACUGGUAAUGAGAUCUGGUGCCCUCUUCUGUCCUGCAGGCAUAAAUGCAGACAGAACAUGGUAUAUAUGAUAAAUAAAUAAAUAAAUCUUAAAAAAAAAAGAAAUUAUCGCAUUAUUUUUUAAUUCUGUCAUACUUAAUUUCCAGGGCAUUGGCAGAAUAAGAAAGAUAUUGGAGCCAAAAUACCACAACAAUAAUGUCUACCUUAAUUUUUCAUUGAGCCUAUUUCUGACUGAAAUCCUGUGAUCUCAACCUCCACUUUCUGCCAUUACUCUCAACAUUCCCAUCUUCCUGAUCCUACAAGAACAGACAAUUAAGUUGUGUGUACAACUUUCUAUUGCUUUUGCUACCUAAAGUCCUGAUAUCUUCCACAUUUCUCCAAAAGAAAACAUCCCAGGUUCUACCUAGCAACAACAUCAUGUUUCCUGUUCCAUUUUUCUAUUCUAACAUGCUUGUAUGCUGCUGGGAUUAUAUCUACUAACCAAAAGCAUCUCAGGCAAUGAACAGGUUUAUUUGGCUGAUUCUGUCAGAUCACAUGCCACCAUUUUGGGAGCUUAGGAUAGAAACUCAAGCUAAUAACUGAAGGCAAAACCCAUGGGCAAAGAUUGUUUCCUGGCUUUCUCUCUUGCCCAGUUACUGUCUCAUGAUCAGAUAGCUCCCUUUUCAGCCUAGGUAGGUCCACUUUCUUAGGGAUAAUUCCACCCUCAGUGGAGGAGCCUUCCCACAUCAAUCAUUAAUCAACACAGACUCUCACAGACACAGCAGUUUCUGGCUAUUAUGAAUAAUGCCACUAUGGAAAUAGUUGAACAAGUGUCCUUGUGGUAGGAUGGAGGAGCAUCAUUUAGGUACAUGCCCAAGAGGGCUAUAGCUAACUAGGUCUUGAGGGAGAUUGACUCCCAAUUUUCUGAGGAUUGCAUAUUGAUUUCCACACCUGCAACAGCAAUAAAACCCCUUGCUCCAUGUCCUUGCCAGCAUUAGCUGUCACUUGUGUUAUUGGACUUAACCAUUCUCACAGGUAUAAAGUGGAAUCCCAAAGUAGGUUUGAUAUGCAUUUUCCUGAUGGCAAAGGAUGUUGAACAUUUCUACAAGUGUUUCUCAGCCACUUUAGAUUCUUCUACUGAGAAUUUUAUUUAGAGGUGUACCCCAAUUUAAUUUGACUAUUUGGUUUGUUGUUGUCUAGAUUCUUGAGUUCUUUAUUAUCCUGAGUGAGGCAACCCAGAAGCACAUAGACAAACAUGGUACAUACUCACUUAUAAGUGGAUAUUAGUAGUUAAUUGAAGUACAGUCACAGUAAUCACAGUUAAUCACAGUACAUACAAUCCAAAGAUGCUGAGAGGCCCAGUAACAAGAACGGCAAUAGGGGUGAUGCAUGGCUC
Peromyscus californicus insignis is the source of this 3639-nucleotide RNA transcript. It is a transcript of the gene named zinc finger protein 120-like, with no coding region annotated. The transcript has 3 exons. Lineage: Eukaryota; Metazoa; Chordata; Mammalia; Rodentia; Cricetidae. The record is from RefSeq and is a predicted model, not a curated record.